AUCAAGCGAUAUGAACAUAAGACAUUGCUUAAUUUUGUGUUUACUUUGAUGUUUCUCCAGCAAUUAGUUGUGAAGGCAGUCUCUCUUGCCAUUGCUCGGGAUGGUGCCAGUGGUGGUGUUGUUCGGACAGUGACUGUAGCAGAUUCACAAUUUGUUACAGAUUAUGUACGUUACUUUC
Molecule: non-coding RNA, 178 nt
Organism: Sesamum indicum (sesame)
Lineage: Eukaryota; Viridiplantae; Streptophyta; Magnoliopsida; Lamiales; Pedaliaceae
Source: RefSeq, a predicted model, not a curated record